Long non-coding RNA from Sceloporus undulatus (fence lizard), 622 nucleotides. RefSeq lists it as uncharacterized. The record is from RefSeq and is a predicted model, not a curated record. The transcript is spliced from 3 exons. Lineage: Eukaryota; Metazoa; Chordata; Lepidosauria; Squamata; Phrynosomatidae.
UUUAAUUCAGGGGCACCUUUCCAACAUCCGAAAGCCUCUCAAGGCAAAGGGUUGGUGUGGUAUAUGUGUGUUUUCUCCAAAGUCACAGUCCAAUGCUGAAAACACUACACCACCCUGGAUCUCUGGUGAACCUUUUAUGUCCUAACAAUUCAGUUGAGUAACUUUGCAUAUUGAGUUAACUAGUUUAUCCCUAAGGGUACAUCUGUACAAGUCAUUGCAGAUUGUGUCUCUAAUUAAUAUUGCUGAGCAUGAUGAAUCAUAAGAUCAGAUGCACCUCACAAUUCUGACUUGUGGAGCAGCUUGCAGCAGGCCAGCCCCCUUUGAAUCAGGACUGGGAUGGUCAAAGUAGAUGCUUGCAAUUUCUGGCAACAGAAGAAACAGAGCCUAGUGGAAUCUUGAAGAAUAAUGGGUUUAUUUUAGCAGGAGGUUUCCAGGAUUGCAAUCUACUUCUUUAGAUUCACUGAAUGACAAGAUAUCACAAGACUCUUUUUCCGUCACUUAUACUGAAACAGAUGAAUGCAUCUAUCACUUUGAAAACUGCUUUACACACAUAUUCUGUAAAGUGUGCAGAUCUGGGGGAUUUGUAUGCUUACUCCUGAAAUAAAAUCUUCCAGAACUGAGA